CCUCAAGGGUAGUUGCAGGUGCAUUCACUUGACCUCUACGAAGGAUGAACAUUUCCCAUGAGUUUUCCACUUGUGUUUCAUCCUUGCCUUUGCUUCAGUUUCCUGUGAGACAAAUUGGAGUUUGACAUCCCUCCUCAAGAUGCCUCCUCCAAGACCAGAGUUCCCUGUGGCUGAGCUGUGUGUGCAGAGAGCACCUUUCUCUCUCCUUGGGAAGCCCUUUGAAUGUAGAAACUCUGCAUUCCUCAUUCCUGUGCCCUCCCUCUCCCCAGUGGCUAGGACUUAACACCAAAGGGUGCUCAGGAAACAAAUGGAAGCAGGGCACUAACCAACUCCAGGAGGACUGGGAGCAUGUUUCCCGCUGAAUCCCUGCCAUCUUGACCACUGCCUGGCAAGAGAAGACACUCUACCAACAUUUUUUUAGGUGCAGUGAGAUUAGUGGUAAUUUAAAAAGCAGGAUUGCCUCUGUGUCAAUUUCCCGCUAAUGAGCAAAACUCGCCGUGUAAUUGCUAUGUAUUGAACGAAGCAACAAUACAUUUUCAGUGGCUGUUUAAUAUGCUGGGGCUUGGUUUAACAGAUGUUCUGAGACUCGCUUUCCAAGACGGAGGAGCCAAGCCCAGAAGAAGAAGGUGACAUUUCCCUUUCUUUUGCCUCUGUCCAGUGCUGCAUCCCUUGGAGGGCAUGAGGCAAGGCCACGUGAGACACAGUCGGUGCUAGAUUCCUGGAGGCAGAGCUGAGGGUAGGUCUUGAAACCAGCGAGGGUAGCAAGCAGAGGAAGAUGACGAUCCAUUCCUCUUCUGAUCUUCACUAUAAGGGGCACCAAGCCCUGGGUCAUGACAAGGUCUUAUAUUUAGCAUGGACUUGCAACCAAAGGUAAGCUCCACGAGGGCAAGGAUUUAUGGCCUUUUUCUUCCAUGGAUGACUCUGAAACGCCUAGAACAGUACCUGGCACACAGUAGGUGCUCCACUAAUGCUGAAUGAAUGAUGCAUGUGGAAGGCUGAGUCUGGUUCCCACAACACAGU
This 1020-nucleotide long non-coding RNA is filed under the name Homo sapiens (human). RNAcentral's name for it is "HSALNT0405288". Lineage: Eukaryota; Metazoa; Chordata; Mammalia; Primates; Hominidae. The record is from RNAcentral.